Non-coding RNA from Paramuricea clavata, 622 nucleotides. The record is from the annotation of a GenBank genome assembly. NCBI's taxonomy places the organism in Eukaryota, Metazoa, Cnidaria, Anthozoa, Malacalcyonacea, Plexauridae.
UGAAACAAACCUUAUAAAGGCAAUCUCAAGUACAAAGUUUGAGAGAAAUCUAUUUCUUGAUCCAAAGAGGUCAUGAGGUUCUUACAGAGACUGCCUCUUAACAAUGAAAGCAAAUCGAUGGCUGUUGGUAUUUUGUGGUGGUUAAUUUUUUAUCUUAUUUUCCCAAUAAUUUUGAAAUUUAGUUAUAUUAAAUGCGUGCAACACUAAGAAUUUUAAAAUAGAAUAACUAAAUAUUUUAAAUUUUAAUAUAAAUCCAUAACAACUAACCAUAACAGGAUUGGUGUUCUUUCCAUUUAACUUAAACCAUUGCCAACGACCAUUUUUGUAAAUUCGAUAUUCCAUACAACGUCUCCACACUCUCUUGGGCAAAGCUGAUCGUAUCCAAAACCAGGUAUAAACACGUUUAACAACUGUCCCUCCGUUAAUAGCCUUACACUUAUCUGUGCAGUAAUUCCCAGAGCCACCAACUGGUCCAAAACAUCCACAACACUAUAGUGUAUACAAAAUAAAGUAAAACAAAAACACGCAAAGAAAUACAAUGUUAAUUAAAGUAUCCAACGAAUGUAUUACCCCAAUAGACACGCCGACAUACAAAACACGUUUCGAAAUAUUUUGAUAAUUA